GCGGGGAGGAGACUGUGAUGGUUAAGAGUGGGGCAAGGAGUACCUGCAUGAACUGAAGUACCAUCUUCCAGAACCAUCUUCCUUGCCCCAGAAUCUUCAGCAAAGAGUGGAAACAUGUGUGGUGUGAAUAAAAAUGCAAAGCAUCCACCAGAGCGUGUUGUUGCUCCGGUAACUCCGGGGAACAUGGGCACGCAGGACCCCGGAGAGGCUAGCAGUAAACGGGAACUUGAGCGCACGGCGGCCCUUUGAUCCUGGCGCCUGCAGCCCUGAUCGAUGAUGGCCUCACAAUUCAUUUCCUUGUCACUGUGACAUCACCUCUUUGGAACUUUUUCUGAAAUGGAUGGAAGCUGAGAAGAUGCUGGCUCAAGGCUGGGUCCCUUCCCCCAGCCAGCAUGAGGCAAAAGCUGAGGGAGGCAUCGAAGGCUGAACAGCCUGGCCUAAAAUGGCCCAUGAAGUGACUGGAGGUGGGAGGAAGCAGAAGCAAAGCCACUAAGCAAUCAAAAGAAGUGAGGCAUGUUCACUGAGGAACAGCCUUCAUGUCUCUUAAGCUAUCGCUGGGGUCUCUGUAGUUCACUUGCUGUAGAUCAGGCCUGCUCAACUUAGGCCCCCCAGCUGUUUUUGGACUACAACUCCCAUAAUUCUCAGCCACAGCAGCCAAUAGCCAGGAAUUAUGGGAAUUGUAGGCCAAUAUCUGCAGGAGGGCCGAAGUUGAGCAGGCCUGCUGUAGGUGGAGGGCCUCAAUAUGUCUGAGAGAGCAUCUGCUUUCGCCAACUGGCCAGGGCCCUGUACUGAGGGAGCAAAGAAUAGAUUGCAGUGCUGGCUGUCAGUUAACCAUAGUGGGUUUGGGCCCCGCCAACUGCCCAACUUUUCCAACUUCUGGUACCCGCUCUGAAUGGCCUCCAGCAGAGGGGCUGAAUCAAUCACUAGCCUCAAGCAAAAGAGGAACGUAACUCAAAGGAUGGACUGUUAAGACCAGGCUUCUGGUUGCCCAAUAAAGAGUUAAUUUGUUUCCCUCCAAACUGGUCAGGCAUGGUUGAGGCAAGCCACCAGUUCAGGUAGCAAAUAUCAUGGACACCUAGCGAGCCCCCCGAGGGAGGAGCUGUCACAAAAUCUUCACUCCUUGUUGGCUGAGUGAGUGGCCUGACUGAAGUGGGAUGGAGAACACAGUCUCCUGUGUGACAGUACCAAGUCUGAGGUGAUGGGAGGUUUUGUGAGAAAUGUCAAAAAAUUUAGCCUAAAAUCCUUACUAGGAGGUAGAUGUACCUGUUGUUGUUUUUGAUUUGCCCAUCAUUUUCCCUCUUAACCCUUGAAAUUCCUUAUUCCUGUUUAGUGUCCAAUAAAUAAGAAGGCUUUAAUUGUUAAA
Hemicordylus capensis (graceful crag lizard) is the source of this 1363-nucleotide long non-coding RNA. RefSeq lists it as uncharacterized. The record is from RefSeq and is a predicted model, not a curated record. Lineage: Eukaryota; Metazoa; Chordata; Lepidosauria; Squamata; Cordylidae. The transcript is spliced from 3 exons.